CGCAUCUGUGCAUGCAGCAUAUCAAUAAGCGGAGGAAAAGAAACUAACAAGGAUUCCCCUAGUAACGGCGAGUGAAGCGGGAAGAGCUCAAAUUUGAAAUCUUAAAGGGUUUCCCUUUACGAAUUGUAGUUUAAAGAAGUGUUUUCUGUUGAGGUUUUGGUAAAAGUUCUUUGGAAUAGGACAUCAUAGAGGGUGAGAAUCCCGUAUUUGACCUUUACUUUCAACUUUGUGAUACACUUUCAAAGAGUCGGAUUGUUUGGGAAUGCAGUCCAAAAUGGGUGGUAAAUUUCAUCUAAAGCUAAAUAUUGGCGAGAGACCGAUAGCGAACAAGUACCGUGAGGGAAAGAUGAAAAGAACUUUGAAAAGAGAGUUAAACAGUACGUGAAAUUGUCAAAAGGGAAGCGUUUGACACCAGUGUUGUUUUUACUGAAAAUCAAUUAAAGAACUGUUUAUGCUAAGCUGUUUAGACUUUAUCAGCUAAUCUGUUUAGUUUUGAGCUUUUCUUUAAUGCACUUUUCAGUUAACAAGUCAACAUCAAUUUCUUUUGCUGUAAAAAAGCUUGAGGAAGGUGGCUUGAGAUUCGUCUUAAGUGUUUAUAGCCUCUUGCCUAGUGCAGUCGGAGAGAUUGAGGUCUGCAGCGUAGAUCCUUCGGGGCUAAAUGCAUUUGUGCUAAGUUAUAGCAUUUCAUAGACAACUUGUUGACUAUGAUUUGUCUUGUAGCUUACUCGCUUAUGUUAUUUUACCUACGCUUAGGAUGUUGACAGCAGUAUAGACUGU
RNAcentral lists this ribosomal RNA (777 nucleotides) under uncultured Neocallimastigales. RNAcentral describes it as "partial large subunit ribosomal RNA". It matches the Rfam family "Eukaryotic large subunit ribosomal RNA", at positions 26 to 640 of the family's 3401-position model. The record is from RNAcentral. Lineage: Eukaryota; Fungi; Neocallimastigomycota; Neocallimastigomycetes; Neocallimastigales.